UACGUAGGAUGCAAGCGUUGUCCGGAUUUACUGGGCGUAAAGCGCGCGCAGGCGGCACCACAAGUACGCACUGAAAUCUCCCUGCUCAACGGGGAGGGUGGUGAGUAGACUGUGGAGCUAGAGGUCGGUAGAGGGGGGUGGAAUUGCUGGUGUAGCGGUGAAAUGCGUAGAGAUCAGCAGGAACACCCGUGGCGAAGGCGGCCCCCUGGGCCGUACCUGACGCUGAGGCGCGAAGGCUAGGGGAGCGAACGGG
RNAcentral lists this ribosomal RNA (253 nucleotides) under uncultured prokaryote. RNAcentral's name for it is "partial 16S ribosomal RNA". It matches the Rfam family "Bacterial small subunit ribosomal RNA", at positions 524 to 776 of the family's 1533-position model. The record is from RNAcentral.